RNAcentral lists this ribosomal RNA (553 nucleotides) under uncultured bacterium. RNAcentral describes it as "partial 16S ribosomal RNA". It matches the Rfam family "Bacterial small subunit ribosomal RNA", at positions 355 to 899 of the family's 1533-position model. The record is from RNAcentral.
UAGGGAAUCUUCGGCAAUGGACGAAAGUCUGACCGAGCAACGCCGCGUGAGUGAAGAAGGUUUUCGGAUCGUAAAACUCUGUUGGUAGAGAAGAACGUUGGUGAGAGUGGAAAGCUCAUCAAGUGACGGUAACUACCCAGAAAGGGACGGCUAACUACGUGCCAGCAGCCGCGGUAAUACGUAGGUCCCGAGCGUUGUCCGGAUUUAUUGGGCGUAAAGCGAGCGCAGGUGGUUUAUUAAGUCUGGUGUAAAAGGCAGUGGCUCAACCAUUGUAUGCAUUGGAAACUGGUAGACUUGAGUGCAGGAGAGGAGAGUGGAAUUCCAUGUGUAGCGGUGAAAUGCGUAGAUAUAUGGAGGAACACCGGUGGCGAAAGCGGCUCUCUGGCCUGUAACUGACACUGAGGCUCGAAAGCGUGGGGAGCAAACAGGAUUAGAUACCCUGGUAGUCCACGCCGUAAACGAUGAGUGCUAGAUGUAGGGAGCUAUAAGUUCUCUGUAUCGCAGCUAACGCAAUAAGCACUCCGCCUGGGGGAGUACGACCGCAAGGUUGAAA